This 1138-nucleotide long non-coding RNA is filed under the name Homo sapiens (human). RNAcentral's name for it is "ICMT divergent transcript". Lineage: Eukaryota; Metazoa; Chordata; Mammalia; Primates; Hominidae. The record is from RNAcentral.
CCCAAGAAGCAAUGUAAAGUUUGAAACGAGCCGAGCGCGGUGGCUCACGCCUGUAAUCCCAGCACUUUGGGAGGCCGAGGCUGGCGAAUCAUUUGAGUAGAGACGGGGUUUCACCGUGUUAGCCGGGAUCCAUCUCCUGACUUCGUGAUCCGCCCGCUUCGGCCUCCCAAAGUGCUGAGAUUACAGACGUGAGCCACCGCGCCCUGCCUAUAUUAGGUUUUUAAAUAGCAGGAGGCAAAGCUUUUCGGUGUGAUCCUGACUUCACUUGGGGAAAAAGGGCAGACACAGGGUCUCACUGUGUUGGCCAGGCUGGAGUGCGGCAGUCUGGAACUCCUGGGCCCAAGUGAUCCUCCAAUCAGCCUCACAAAGCACUGGAAUUACAGGUAGCUCAGAGAGCUGCGCUGGAGGAGAAAAGCCAGUCCUGGCAGGAGCUCUGGUACCUGGGAAGCUGGAUGGAGAGCCUGGGCCAGAAUCCCGGACCCCUCACCUCUGCGGCCUAGCUUUGUGACCUUGGCAAAUCCAUUCUAUGCACCUCCAUUUCCUGUACAGUGGGGAUCCUUAUUUCUCUGGCACAGAUUGGUAUUUGUUCUGUAAAGCCCAGUACCACUUUAUUUUAUUUUAGUUAUUGAUUUUUUUGAGACAGGGCCUCACUCUGUUGCCAAGGCUGGAAUGCAGUGGCGAGAUCAUAGCUCACUGCAGCCUCAAACUCCUGGGCUCAGGCCAUCCUCCUGCCUCGGCCUCCUGAGUAGCUGGGACGACAGGCGUGCACCACUGCGCCUAGCUCCAGUACCAUGUUUAAACGGUGCUCAGAAAACGUGCUAAACUUGGUGGAUGGGAAUUGAAAAGAGAUUUAAUGUUUUAAAAAUCAAAGUCACUCAGCUGCAGUGCCACAUGGGAAGGAGGCCUGGAUGUGAAUGUUCCUGGGAGCUGAGAGCUCCUGUGACUGUCGCCAGUUUCCUGUGGUCUCCCACAGACUCAGGACAUCUCCCUCUGCUCCAGGACACCUCAGGACCACCAGAGGGCACUCAUCGCACCUUCACCCCUGGAAGGGAGCUGGUCCUGGGGCCAAAACCCACUGUGCCUGGGAAGCCCUUCCUGGCUUCUGCUCUCCUCAAUGUAUGACAGCCCUGAUUUACCC